This 1171-nucleotide ribosomal RNA is filed under the name Klebsiella michiganensis. Its description in RNAcentral is "partial 23S ribosomal RNA". It matches the Rfam family "Bacterial large subunit ribosomal RNA", at positions 1762 to 2925 of the family's 2925-position model. RNAcentral also lists the same sequence under 1 other name. Lineage: Bacteria; Pseudomonadati; Pseudomonadota; Gammaproteobacteria; Enterobacterales; Enterobacteriaceae. The record is from RNAcentral.
UGGAGCUGAAAUCAGUCGAAGAUACCAGCUGGCUGCAACUGUUUAUUAAAAACACAGCACUGUGCAAACACGAAAGUGGACGUAUACGGUGUGACGCCUGCCCGGUGCCGGAAGGUUAAUUGAUGGGGUUAUCCUCACGGAGAAGCUCUUGAUCGAAGCCCCGGUAAACGGCGGCCGUAACUAUAACGGUCCUAAGGUAGCGAAAUUCCUUGUCGGGUAAGUUCCGACCUGCACGAAUGGCGUAAUGAUGGCCAGGCUGUCUCCACCCGAGACUCAGUGAAAUUGAACUCGCUGUGAAGAUGCAGUGUACCCGCGGCAAGACGGAAAGACCCCGUGAACCUUUACUAUAGCUUGACACUGAACACUGGUCCUUGAUGUGUAGGAUAGGUGGGAGGCUUUGAAGUGUGGACGCCAGUCUGCAUGGAGCCAUCCUUGAAAUACCACCCUUUAAUGGCUGGUGUUCUAACGUGGGCCCGUAAUCCGGGUUGCGGACAGUGUCUGGUGGGUAGUUUGACUGGGGCGGUCUCCUCCUAAAGAGUAACGGAGGAGCACGAAGGUCAGCUAAUCCUGGUCGGACAUCAGGAGGUUAGUGCAAUGGCAUAAGCUGGCUUGACUGCGAGCGUGACGGCGCGAGCAGGUGCGAAAGCAGGUCAUAGUGAUCCGGUGGUUCUGAAUGGAAGGGCCAUCGCUCAACGGAUAAAAGGUACUCCGGGGAUAACAGGCUGAUACCGCCCAAGAGUUCAUAUCGACGGCGGUGUUUGGCACCUCGAUGUCGGCUCAUCACAUCCUGGGGCUGAAGUAGGUCCCAAGGGUAUGGCUGUUCGCCAUUUAAAGUGGUACGCGAGCUGGGUUUAGAACGUCGUGAGACAGUUCGGUCCCUAUCUGCCGUGGGCGCUGGAGAAUUGAGGGGGGCUGCUCCUAGUACGAGAGGACCGGAGUGGACGCAUCACUGGUGUUCGGGUUGUCAUGCCAAUGGCAUUGCCCGGUAGCUAAAUGCGGAAGAGAUAAGUGCUGAAAGCAUCUAAGCACGAAACUUGCCCCGAGAUGAGUUCUCCCUGACCCUUUAAGGGUCCUGAAGGAACGUUGAAGACGACGACGUUGAUAGGCCGGGUGUGUAAGCGCAGCGAUGCGUUGAGCUAACCGGUACUAAUGAACCGUGAGGCUUAACCUU